RNAcentral lists this ribosomal RNA (2890 nucleotides) under Vibrio parahaemolyticus NIHCB0603. RNAcentral's name for it is "bacterial LSU rRNA". It matches the Rfam family "Bacterial large subunit ribosomal RNA". Lineage: Bacteria; Pseudomonadati; Pseudomonadota; Gammaproteobacteria; Vibrionales; Vibrionaceae. The record is from RNAcentral.
UUAAGUGACUAAGCGUACACGGUGGAUGCCUUGGCAGUCAGAGGCGAUGAAAGACGUAGUAACUUGCGAUAAGCCCAGAUUAGGUAGUAACAACCAUUUGAGUCUGGGAUUUCUGAAUGGGGAAACCCACGUGCAUAAGCACGUAUCCUUACCUGAAUACAUAGGGUAAGGAGGCGAACCGGGGGAACUGAAACAUCUAAGUACCCCGAGGAAAAGAAAUCAACCGAGAUUCCGAAAGUAGCGGCGAGCGAAAUUGGACUAGCCCUUAAGCUUUACACGCGUUAGACGAACGGUCUGGAAAGUCCGACGAUACAGGGUGAUAGUCCCGUAGUUGACGACGUGUGUUCAGUGAAAUCGAGUAGGGCGGGACACGUGAUAUCCUGUCUGAAUAUGGGGGGACCAUCCUCCAAGGCUAAAUACUACUGACUGACCGAUAGUGAACCAGUACCGUGAGGGAAAGGCGAAAAGAACCCCUGUGAGGGGAGUGAAAUAGAACCUGAAACCGUGUACGUACAAGCAGUAGGAGCAGGCUUUGUCCUGUGACUGCGUACCUUUUGUAUAAUGGGUCAGCGACUUAUAUUCAGUGGCAAGGUUAACCAUCUAGGGGAGCCGUAGGGAAACCGAGUCUUAACUGGGCGUUCAGUCUCUGGAUAUAGACCCGAAACCAGGUGAUCUAGCCAUGGGCAGGUUGAAGGUUGAGUAACAUCAACUGGAGGACCGAACCGACUAAUGUUGAAAAAUUAGCGGAUGACUUGUGGCUAGGGGUGAAAGGCCAAUCAAACCUGGAGAUAGCUGGUUCUCCCCGAAAGCUAUUUAGGUAGCGCCUCGGACGAAUACUACUGGGGGUAGAGCACUGUUAAGGCUAGGGGGUCAUCCCGACUUACCAACCCUUUGCAAACUCCGAAUACCAGUAAGUACUAUCCGGGAGACACACGGCGGGUGCUAACGUCCGUCGUGGAGAGGGAAACAACCCAGACCGCCAGCUAAGGUCCCAAAUUACUACUAAGUGGGAAACGAUGUGGGAAGGCUCAGACAGCCAGGAUGUUGGCUUAGAAGCAGCCAUCAUUUAAAGAAAGCGUAAUAGCUCACUGGUCGAGUCGGCCUGCGCGGAAGAUGUAACGGGGCUAAGUAGUAAACCGAAGCUGCGGCAAUGUGCUUUUGCACAUUGGGUAGGGGAGCGUUCUGUAAGCGGUUGAAGGUGUGUGGUAACGCAUGCUGGACGUAUCAGAAGUGCGAAUGCUGACAUGAGUAACGAUAAAGGGGGUGAAAAACCUCCUCGCCGGAAGACCAAGGGUUCCUGUCCAACGUUAAUCGGGGCAGGGUAAGUCGACCCCUAAGGCGAGGCCGAAAGGCGUAGUCGAUGGGAAACGGGUUAAUAUUCCCGUACUUCUUACAAUUGCGAUGGGGGGACGGAGAAGGCUAGGUGGGCCUGGCGACGGUUGUCCAGGUUCAAGUGCGUAGGCUUGAGAGUUAGGUAAAUCCGGCUCUUUUUAAGGCUGAGACACGACGUCGAGCACCUACGGGUGUGAAGUCAUUGAUGCCAUGCUUCCAGGAAAAGCCUCUAAGCUUCAGAUUGUAAGGAAUCGUACCCCAAACCGACACAGGUGGUCGGGUAGAGAAUACCAAGGCGCUUGAGAGAACUCGGGUGAAGGAACUAGGCAAAAUGGUACCGUAACUUCGGGAGAAGGUACGCUCUCGACGGUGAAGUCCCUCGCGGAUGGAGCUAUUGAGAGUCGCAGAUACCAGGUGGCUGCAACUGUUUAUUAAAAACACAGCACUGUGCAAAAUCGUAAGAUGACGUAUACGGUGUGACGCCUGCCCGGUGCCGGAAGGUUAAUUGAUGGGGUUAGACUUCGGUCGAAGCUCUUGAUCGAAGCCCCGGUAAACGGCGGCCGUAACUAUAACGGUCCUAAGGUAGCGAAAUUCCUUGUCGGGUAAGUUCCGACCUGCACGAAUGGCGUAAUGAUGGCCACGCUGUCUCCACCCGAGACUCAGUGAAAUUGAAAUCGCUGUGAAGAUGCAGUGUACCCGCGGCUAGACGGAAAGACCCCGUGAACCUUUACUACAGCUUGGCACUGAACAUUGACCCUACAUGUGUAGGAUAGGUGGGAGGCUUUGAAGCACGUACGCCAGUAUGUGUGGAGCCGUCCUUGAAAUACCACCCUUGUAGUGUUGAUGUUCUAACGUCGACCCCUUAUCGGGGUUGCGGACAGUGCCUGGUGGGUAGUUUGACUGGGGCGGUCUCCUCCCAAAGAGUAACGGAGGAGCACGAAGGUGGGCUAAUCACGGUUGGACAUCGUGAGGUUAGUGCAAUGGCAUAAGCCCGCUUGACUGCGAGAAUGACAAUUCGAGCAGGUGCGAAAGCAGGUCAUAGUGAUCCGGUGGUUCUGAAUGGAAGGGCCAUCGCUCAACGGAUAAAAGGUACUCCGGGGAUAACAGGCUGAUACCGCCCAAGAGUUCAUAUCGACGGCGGUGUUUGGCACCUCGAUGUCGGCUCAUCACAUCCUGGGGCUGAAGUCGGUCCCAAGGGUAUGGCUGUUCGCCAUUUAAAGUGGUACGCGAGCUGGGUUUAGAACGUCGUGAGACAGUUCGGUCCCUAUCUGCCGUGGGCGUUGGAAGAUUGAAGGGGGCUGCUCCUAGUACGAGAGGACCGGAGUGGACGAACCUCUGGUGUUCGGGUUGUGUCGCCAGACGCAUUGCCCGGUAGCUAAGUUCGGAAUCGAUAACCGCUGAAAGCAUCUAAGCGGGAAGCGAGCCCUGAGAUGAGUCUUCCCUGAUACUUUAAGUAUCCUAAAGGGUUGUCGGAGACUACGACGUUGAUAGGUCAGGUGUGUAAGUGCUGUGAGGCCAUUGAGCUAACUGAUACUAAUUGCCCGUGAGGCUUACCAUA